GCGCGCCUAACACAUGCAAGUCGAACGGAGCUUAGAGAGCUUGCUUUUUAAGCUUAGUGGCGAGCGGGUGAGUAGCGCGUGAGUAACCUGCCCUAGAGUGGGGGACAACAGUUGGAAACGACUGCUAAUACCGCAUAAGCCCACGGUACCGCAUGGUACUGAGGGAAAAGGAUUUAUUCGCUUUAGGAUGGACUCGCGUCCAAUUAGCUAGUUGGUGAGGUAACGGCCCACCAAGGCGACGAUUGGUAGCCGGACUGAGAGGUUGAACGGCCACAUUGGGACUGAGACACGGCCCAGACUCCUACGGGAGGCAGCAGUGGGGGAUAUUGCACAAUGGGGGAAACCCUGAUGCAGCGACGCCGCGUGGAGGAAGAAGGUUUUCGGAUUGUAAACUCCUGUCGUUAGGGACGAUAAUGACGGUACCUAACAAGAAAGCACCGGCUAACUACGUGCCAGCAGCCGCGGUAAAACGUAGGGUGCAAGCGUUGUCCGGAAUUACUGGGUGUAAAGGGAGCGCAGGCGGGAAGACAAGUUGGAAGUGAAAACCAUGGGCUCAACCCAUGAAUUGCUUUCAAAACUGUUUUUCUUGAGUAGUGCAGAGGUAGAUGGAAUUCCCGGUGUAGCGGUGGAAUGCGUAGAUAUCGGGAGGAACACCAGUGGCGAAGGCGGUCUACUGGGCACCAACUGACGCUGAGGCUCGAAAGCAUGGGUAGCAAACAGG
This 721-nucleotide ribosomal RNA is filed under the name uncultured Lachnospiraceae bacterium. RNAcentral's name for it is "bacterial SSU rRNA". It matches the Rfam family "Bacterial small subunit ribosomal RNA", at positions 42 to 776 of the family's 1533-position model. The record is from RNAcentral. Lineage: Bacteria; Bacillati; Bacillota; Clostridia; Lachnospirales; Lachnospiraceae.